RNAcentral lists this transfer-messenger RNA (354 nucleotides) under Oscillospiraceae bacterium. It matches the Rfam family "transfer-messenger RNA". Rfam says of the family: Bacterial tmRNA, also known as 10Sa RNA or SsrA, is named for its dual tRNA and mRNA-like properties. Its role is to liberate the mRNA from a stalled ribosome. The record is from RNAcentral. Lineage: Bacteria; Bacillati; Bacillota; Clostridia; Eubacteriales; Oscillospiraceae.
GGGGAUGAAAGGAUUUCGACAGGGUCGGCGAGCCUUGAUCAGCGAGUAGCGGAGUUGCACCGCUAUAAAAGUAACAACUUAAAAUUAACUGACAAUAAUAAAUCAGUAGCUCUUGCUGCGUAAUUAGCAGCUUGCGUUCUGUCAAAGAGUGCCACGGCUUUGAAUAGAGCGUCGACUUAGUGGCGAACAUGAACGAAAGACCGUCCCGGCUUUCGUCAGGUAUCAGGGACUACCGUAGCAUAUAGGCUGUUUGCCGCCGAUAUGUGAGGGGAUUAACCUAAAUGACAAACUACACUCGUAGAACCCUUGGUAAACCUGCUCUGGACGCGGUUUCGAUUACCGCCAUCUCCACCA